Molecule: ribosomal RNA, 465 nt
Filed under: Vreelandella stevensii
Lineage: Bacteria; Pseudomonadati; Pseudomonadota; Gammaproteobacteria; Oceanospirillales; Halomonadaceae
Description: partial 16S ribosomal RNA
Rfam family: Bacterial small subunit ribosomal RNA
Source: RNAcentral
CCUACGGGCGGCAGCAGUGGGGAAUAUUGGACAAUGGGGGGAACCCUGAUCCAGCCAUGCCGCGUGUGUGAAGAAGGCCCUCGGGGUGUAAAGCACUUUCAGUGAGGAAGAACGCCUGGUGGUUAAUACCCAUCAGGAAAGACAUCACUCACAGAAGAAGCACCGGCUAACUCCGUGCCAGCAGCCGCGGUAAUACGGAGGGUGCGAGCGUUAAUCGGAAUUACUGGGCGUAAAGCGCGCGUAGGUGGCUUGAUAAGCCGGUUGUGAAAGCCCCGGGCUCAACCUGGGAACGGCAUCCGGAACUGUCAAGCUAGAGUGCAGGAGAGGAAGGUAGAAUUCCCGGUGUAGCGGUGAAAUGCGUAGAGAUCGGGAGGAAUACCAGUGGCGAAGGCGGCCUUCUGGACUGACACUGACACUGAGGUGCGAAAGCGUGGGUAGCAAACAGGAUUAGAUACCCCUGUAGUC